RNAcentral lists this ribosomal RNA (377 nucleotides) under uncultured bacterium. RNAcentral's name for it is "partial 16S ribosomal RNA". It matches the Rfam family "Bacterial small subunit ribosomal RNA", at positions 338 to 732 of the family's 1533-position model. The record is from RNAcentral.
CCUACGGGAUGCAGCAGUGAGGAAUAUUGGGCAAUGGAGGCAACUCUGGCCCAGCCAUGCCGCGUGAGUGAAGAAGGUUUUCGGAUUGUAAAGCACUUUCGGAUGUGACGAUGAUGACGGUAGCAUCUAAAGAAGCCCCGGCUAACUUCGUGCCAGCAGCCGCGGUAAUACGAAGGGGGCAAGCGUUGUUCGGAAUUACUGGGCGGAAAGGGAGUGUAGGCGGUUUAGUAAGAUAGUGGUGAAAUCCCAGGGCUGAACUUGGGAAUUGCCUUUAUAACUAUUAGACUAGAAUUACAGAGAGGAGAGUAGAAUACCAAGUGUAGAGGUGAAAGUCGUAGAGAUUGGGUAGAACACCAGUGGCGAAGGCGACCACCUGG